GCUUCUGUAGCUCAGUUGGUAGAGCAGCUCACUCGUAAUGAGCAGGUCACGUGUUCGAGUCACGCCAGGAGCU
Molecule: transfer RNA, 73 nt
Organism: Eubacterium sp. CAG:161
Lineage: Bacteria; Bacillati; Bacillota; Clostridia; Eubacteriales; Eubacteriaceae
Rfam family: tRNA
About the family: Transfer RNA (tRNA) molecules are approximately 80 nucleotides in length.
Source: Rfam